Molecule: non-coding RNA, 25 nt
Filed under: Capsicum annuum
Lineage: Eukaryota; Viridiplantae; Streptophyta; Magnoliopsida; Solanales; Solanaceae
Also listed under: 6 other names
Source: RNAcentral
GGAAGUAAAAGUCGUAACAAGGUUU